ACACGCAUGACACACUGCAUAUCAAUAAGCGGAGGAAAAGAAACUAACAAGGAUUCCCUUAGUAACGGCGAGUGAAGCGGGAAGAGCUCAAAUUCGAAAUCUUCAAGGUUUUACCUUGACGAAUUGUAGUUUAAAGAAGUGUUUUCUGUUGGAGUUUUGGUAAAAGUUCUUUGGAAUAGGACAUCAUAGAGGGUGAGAAUCCCGUAUUUGACCAUUAUUUCCAGCUGUGUGAUACACUUUCAAAGAGUCGGAUUGUUUGGGAAUGCAGUCCAAAAUGGGUGGUAAAUUUCAUCUAAAGCUAAAUAUUGGCGAGAGACCGAUAGCGAACAAGUACCGUGAGGGAAAGAUGAAAAGAACUUUGAAAAGAGAGUUAAACAGUACGUGAAAUUGUCAAAAGGGAAGCGUUUGACACCAGUGUUGUUUUCUCGAAAAUCAAUUAAAAAUGCAUGGAUUUUGUGUUGUAUUGACUUUAUCAGCUUUCUGCACUUUUUUCUUAUCUUUUUUAAUGCACUUUUCGUUUAACAAGUCAACAUCAAUUUCUUUUGUUGUAAAAGAGUCAUUGGAAGGUGGCUUUUUCUUCGGAAAAAGUGUUUAUAGCCUUUGAUCUCUGCAAUCGGAGAGACUUGAGGUCUGCAGCGUAGACUCUUCGGGGUUAGAUACAUUUGUGCUAAGCUAUAGCUUCUUUAUAGACAACUUGUUGACUAUAAUUAAGUCUUGUAGCUUACUCGCUUAUGCUAUUUUACCUACGCUUAGGAUGUUGAACUACUGAGACAUAGA
Molecule: ribosomal RNA, 777 nt
Filed under: uncultured Neocallimastigales
Lineage: Eukaryota; Fungi; Neocallimastigomycota; Neocallimastigomycetes; Neocallimastigales
Description: partial large subunit ribosomal RNA
Rfam family: Eukaryotic large subunit ribosomal RNA
Source: RNAcentral